GGAUGUGAGGGCAAUCUUGCUACAACUGUCACCCCAUUGAUGGCCAGGGUAGAUUCAGCUCAUCUGGCUGGCUAGGCAGGUGUUCCCUUCCUCCCUCACCACUCCAUGUUCAUCCCUUCCAAAGCUGUGCACUUAGUCAAAGAAGACAACCUUCCCCCAAAGAAGAGGACCAUUCUUUAGUCAAGAGUAUAUGAGUAGCUGUACUUCCCUGCUAGAACCUCUAAAUAAGCUCUCAAGGUCCGUUUGUAAGAGAAGGUAGAGUAGUCAAGCUUCCAAGAUUCCAGACACAUCCAAAUGAGGCAGUGCAUGUGACAGUCUGCUUUCU
RNAcentral lists this small nuclear RNA (325 nucleotides) under Neogale vison (American mink). Its description in RNAcentral is "Neovison vison (American mink) 7SK RNA (ENSNVIG00000022692.1)". It matches the Rfam family "7SK RNA". Rfam says of the family: 7SK was discovered as an abundant small nuclear RNA in the mid-70s but a possible function has only recently been suggested. Two independent studies have found that 7SK RNA binds the CDK9/cyclin T complex (known as elongation factor P-TEFb). Lineage: Eukaryota; Metazoa; Chordata; Mammalia; Carnivora; Mustelidae. The record is from Rfam by way of RNAcentral.